AAUAGGCUUGCUAGCUGAUUGUAUAUAUAUGCUGGCCGUAUUUCAUAGCAAGCUCGCUUUUAAUAGGCAACCAGUAAUAUGAGCAAUUCUUUACCUACAAGCCUAUAAUUAUAUUAACUCUAAGAGAAAUCUAAUAAUAAACGGAGUGAAUUGAAAUAUCUUAUUAACUUCAGGAAAAGAAAUCAAAAGAGAUUCUAUGAUUAGCGUGAGCUAAAAUAGAGUAGCCUAGAAAGUCAAAUGGUGGAUAAACUGUUUAAAUUUAAUGGGGAACCUUCCUCAAAGGCUAAAUAUAAUAUGUAAGCGAUAGUGGAAAGUACCGUGAGGGAACCAAAACAAAAACAGUGAUUUUAUAAGCAGUUCGGAAAAAUAAAAAAGUUAGAACGUACCUUUUGCAUAAUGGGUCACCAAGUUAACAUUAGAUGCGAGAUUCUACGUAGUUAAACCGAGCGUUAAAAUAACGGUAAGUGUCUAAAGUUAGACCCGAAGCCUGGUGAUUUUACCAUAAUCAGGAUUAUAAAAGUCCGAACGGAAUAUUGUAGCAUAAAUAUCCGAAGAAUUAUGGUAGGUGUAGUGAAAGACAAUACUGACCAGGAUAGCUGGUUUUCUGCGAAACCUAUAACAGUAGGCAAUUUAAGUAUAAUAUCUUAGCAGGUACAGAAUUUAAUCUCAGACAAGACAUAAGGCUUAACUUGUUAACAAGUUAAGCCCAUGUUUUAUUUUGUACAAAUUGGGGGAUCAUGAAGAUUUUAUCAGUGAGUAUGUAGACUCGGAAUGGCAAAGAUAUAUCUUAAAUCAUCAGACAUAGAAUGAUAAGGUUGUAUGUCAAAAGGGAAACAGCCCAGAACAAGAGUUAAGGUUCCUAAAUUAUUAGUUGAGUGAAAUUAAGAAGGUUUUUAUUAAAGUCGACAAGGAGAUAGGCUUAGAAGCAGCCAUAAUUUUAUGACCUCGUAACAGAGCGCUUGUUAAGUUUUAAAAGCAUCGAAAAUUUAUCGGAUCUAAACAAUAUACCGAAACCUUGUCCAUAUUAUUUUAUAAUUAAUAGUCUCAGCAAGCUCGGACUAUACAAUUAUAAUUAAAUGGGGUAGCAGAACGUUGAGCUAAAUUAAGAUUUUUAUUUUUUAAAUGAAAUUAUAAUAAUUUAACUCAAGUGAUAAUGGUGACAUGAGUAACUAAAAGAAAAUUUUCCGCCUAAAGCUUAUGGAUGUAAUUAAGUAACGGCCUCUAAGUUUAUGGAAUCAAAAGAUUAAAACGAUGAGACAAUCUUUCAUACUAAGGACGACAUUUUAAGUGCAAAAUGUACUGGAAAAAUAGUAAUAAGUUUAAGCUAUGGCUAGAACUAGCUAUAGCUGUAAAUGGAAAGUAACCGUACCUAGAAUCUGAAACAAGUAAGCUAGUAGAGAAUACGAAGGCGUAAAUGAGCUAACAAUCAUAAAGGAACUCGGCAAAUUGACUACCGUAACUUCGGGAUAAGGAGAGCUCAUUAUUCUUGAUUAAUAUCAGGUAAAGAGGAAGAAGCAUGAAAUAGUGUUGUACGACUGUUUAAUUAAAACACAGCACUUUGCUGAAAGAUUAAAAAUCUAAGUAUAGAGUGUGAUGUCUGCCCGGUGCCGGCUGGUUAACAGAUAUAAUUAAAUAUACUAAUAUUUGAUGUAGACGGAAACCCCGGUUAAAGGCGGCCUUAACGUGAGGGUCCUAAGGUAGCGAAAUGCCUUGGCCGUUAAAUGCGGUCUUGCAUGAAUGAUGUAACGAUACAACAGCUGUCUCUAUGAUUGACUCAGUGAAAUUGGAAUAGCUGUGCAGAUACAGUUUACCUCUAGUUAGACGAGAAGACCCUAUGCAGCUUUACUGUCACUAAUUAUAGAGUAUGAUAAACAAUUUUCAGUUUAUAAGGUAAUUGACGGCCGGCUUGCUUAGCAAGCUGGCUCUAUGACAAUGAGAAUCCUUUAUUUUUUUUUCAUAUGAAUGAAUUGGUUUAGGACGAGCUUAAGCUCGUAGUAAAUCAACCUAAUUCAGCUUAUUUUCCUUUCUGCUGUAAGCGCAUAAUGAUAGAUUAUACUUAAAUUUGGAUUUAUGCCUGCAGAAAUAGAUAAGUACCCUUGGUUAAGGAACUAUCGCUAGGGGACAGUUUAUGUGGGGCACAGACCCUGUAAAGAGUAAACAGGAGUGUCUAAUAAUUUAUAAUUAUUUUGUUUGCGAUUUAAGGUAGUAGAACUAUUUUUAAUCAUAUAAAAUUAUUUAUAUGUACAUUCGUUGUAUAUAUAUUUAAAAAAAGGUAGGAUUUUCACUAUAUAGAAAUUAGAGAUAAUAAAAAUAUUAAGUAGUAGCUGCUGAGUCCUAAUCCCGCCGAAGGGGGGAUAUGGACUACUAUGUAUUUCAUAGCAAGCUCGCACUAAUAUUUUUUAACUAUUAAGACUGGCUAUCUAGCUAUGCUCUAAUAGUUAUGUUUUAAUUAUCUAAAAAGCUCAACGGCUAAAUCUUGCCUUACUGUUUGAUUAUCAACAAAUCUUACAGUUGCGUAAGCAGGGCAUAGGAUCACAAGAUGCAACAAGGAAAGAUCUUGGAUUAUUGGAAAAGCUACGCUAGGGAUGUUUGUCCUUUAAUAUUUUAUUUCACUGUGGUAUGGGUCAUAGUCCUACGGACU
Molecule: ribosomal RNA, 2641 nt
Filed under: Fusarium culmorum
Lineage: Eukaryota; Fungi; Ascomycota; Sordariomycetes; Hypocreales; Nectriaceae
Also listed under: 2 other names
Description: bacterial LSU rRNA
Rfam family: Bacterial large subunit ribosomal RNA
Source: RNAcentral